CUUGAUGUAAUAUGCAAUUGAGUUCAAUAGUGAGGACCCUGUGUUAUGUCAAGGGUUUGAACCUGUGGAAAAACACUUGUUAGGAGGGAUACCAUCAUUAAAUCAAAAGGAGGGGCAAACAUGUAGUGUUUCAUACCAUCAUAGUCCAAAACAUAAUUUGUUGGUUUGGGGCUGCUUGAAAGAAAUCAAAUUGAGUGUAUCACAGUCCAGUCUCUGCAUAAUUGUAUUAUCACAUAGCACAUAACUCGAGAAAGGAACUUUUAUAUAUCUGCCAAUAUGUUAGAGCACGUAGACAGGUUUACUGUUAUUACACUAAAAUGUAGGACCAAAAUAUUCAAACAACAACAACAACAAAAAUCUUAUCCCACAGCAAUAAAAUAUUCAAACAUGAAAGGAAAAUGAAAAAUACUGAACCAAUAUUUGAAAAAUGAAAAGCACAUACCGAACCCUGAAUGAAAAACAUAUAGCUCUUCC
This 474-nucleotide long non-coding RNA is filed under the name Glycine max (soybean). RNAcentral's name for it is "long non-coding RNA (GMAX_LNC001608)". The record is from RNAcentral. Lineage: Eukaryota; Viridiplantae; Streptophyta; Magnoliopsida; Fabales; Fabaceae.